RNAcentral lists this ribosomal RNA (464 nucleotides) under uncultured bacterium. Its description in RNAcentral is "partial 16S ribosomal RNA". It matches the Rfam family "Bacterial small subunit ribosomal RNA", at positions 339 to 795 of the family's 1533-position model. The record is from RNAcentral.
CUACGGGACGCUCCAGUGGGGAAUAUUGGACAAUGGACGAAAGUCCGAUCCAGCGACACCGCGUGGGGGAUGAAGGCUUUCGGGUUGUAAACCCCUUUUCUGGAGGAAGAAUAAGGUUGGGAGGAAAUGCCCAUCCGAUGACGGUACUCCAGGAAUAAGCAUCGGCAAACUUCGUGCCAGCAGCCGCGGUAAGACGAAGGAUGCGAGCGUUAUCCGGAAUUACUGGGCGUAAAAGACGUCUAGGCGGUUGGAUAAGUCAGUUGUGAAAUCCCAGGGCUUAACCCUGGAAGGUCUUGUGAUACUGUCCGGCUUGGGUGUAGGAGAGGAGAGCGGAACUCACAGAGUAGCGGUGGAAUGCGUAGAUACUGUGAGGUACCCCGAUGGCGAAGGCAGCUCUCUGGCCUACUACCGACGCUGAAGCGUGAAAGCGUGGGGAGCAAAGGGGAUUAGAUACCCGGGUAGUC